This 195-nucleotide ribosomal RNA is filed under the name uncultured bacterium. Its description in RNAcentral is "partial 16S ribosomal RNA". It matches the Rfam family "Bacterial small subunit ribosomal RNA", at positions 338 to 524 of the family's 1533-position model. The record is from RNAcentral.
CCUACGGGAGGCAGCAGUGAGGAAUUUUGCGCAAUGGGGGCAACCCUGACGCAGCAACGCCGCGUGAGUGAAGAAGGCCUUUGGGUCGUAAAGCUCUGUCAACAGGGAAGAAGUUACAAUUGUUUAAUAGAUGGUUGUAUUGACGGUACCUGUGGAGGAAGCGCCGGCUAACUCCGUGCCAGCAGCCGCGGUAAU